RNAcentral lists this long non-coding RNA (679 nucleotides) under Monodelphis domestica (gray short-tailed opossum). RNAcentral describes it as "lncRNA (ENSMODG00000048177.1)". The record is from RNAcentral. Lineage: Eukaryota; Metazoa; Chordata; Mammalia; Didelphimorphia; Didelphidae.
GAUGUUUUUUAAUUUUAUUUUACAUUAGAAAAUAUUUUCUAUGUUUUACGUGGUUCAUUUUAUUUCCCUCCUUUCUUCCCUUCCCCCUCCCAGAAUCAACAAGAAAAACCACUUGUAUAAAUGUUAUGAGCUGCACAACCCUGGACAAGUUCAUAGAACCUCUCUCAGCCUCAGUGUCCUCAUCUUUAAAAUGGAAUUGUUGGGAGAAUCAAAUGAGAUAUCGAAUAAUAAACUGGAGGAAUUCCAUGGAGACUGGAACAACCUCCAGGAAGUGAUGCAGAGUGAGAGGAGCAGAACCAGAACAUUGUAUACAGAGACUGAUACACUGUGCUACAAUCGAUUGUAAUGAACUUCUCCAUUAGUGGCAAUGCAGUGAUACUGAACAACCAGGAGGGAUCUACGAUGAAGAACACUAUCCACAUUCAGAGGAAAAACUAAAUCAACUGCUUCAAUAUAUGGGUCGAGGGGGAUAUGAUUGGGGAUACAGACUCUAAAUGAUCCACCCUAGUGCAAACAUCAACAACCUGGAAAUAGGUUCUGGUCAAAGACACAUGUAAUACCCAGUGGAAUUUCAUGUUGGCUGUGGGAAAGGGAGGUGGAGGGAAGGGAGGGAAAUAAUAUGAUUCUUAUAACCAAGGAAUAAUCUUCUAAAUUGACUAAAUAAAAUUUAAAACAAACA